Small nuclear RNA from Sorex araneus (European shrew), 134 nucleotides. Lineage: Eukaryota; Metazoa; Chordata; Mammalia; Eulipotyphla; Soricidae. The record is from Ensembl.
AAAAAGAUCUUCUACCAUAAGUGGCACACGUAGGGCAUGUUGCUUGCUCUAUGUGCAGAAUCAACAUCAAGAUAUUUUGGAGGUAUAAUUUUCUGGCAGUAGGGUCGCUGGUUAUUGUUGGUCCUGGCACCACC